Molecule: unclassified non-coding RNA, 205 nt
Organism: Chinchilla lanigera (long-tailed chinchilla)
Lineage: Eukaryota; Metazoa; Chordata; Mammalia; Rodentia; Chinchillidae
Source: Ensembl
GACUGAGUCAGAUGUAGCAAUAAUUCUUAAGAGUCGGAAGUCUCAAAACAGUGUAGAGAGAGCGGCAGAACAGAGAGAAAUGUCUGGAUGCCAGCAGCAGGUUUUAGCAGCGGUGAACAUCGGGUAGAAAAUCUGCGGUGUCUCCAGCCUCAGCACGCAAGCCAAAAGCGGCCAGCCUCUCCCCCGCACCCUGCUGAGCGUUUCG